UCUAAGUACCCGGAGGAAAAGAAAAUAAAGAAUGAUUCCGUAAGUAGCGGCGAGCGAAAGCGGAGGAGCCCAAACCAGUUCUCGAACUGGGGUUGUAGGACCACGACAAGACAAGAACGACGAUAGGAGAACAGCAUUGAAAGGCUGACCGAAGAGGGUGCAAGUCCCGUAACCGAAAUCGUAGUGAAGUCUAGUGGGAUCCUGAGUACGGCGAGACACGAGAAAUCUUGUCGGAAGCAGGCGGGACCAUCCGUCAAGGCUAAAUAUACCCAAGUGACCGAUAGUGAACCAGUACCGUGAGGGAAAGGUGAAAAGAACCGCGGGAGCGGAGUGAAAUAGAACCUGAAACCGUAUGCCUACAAGAAGUCAGAGCCCGUUAAAGGGUGAUGGCGUGCCUUUUGUAGAAUGAACCGGCGAGUUACGUUAUCGUGCGAGGUUAAGUAGAAGAUACGGAGCCGAAGCGAAAGCGAGUCUUAAUAGGGCGACAGUACGAUGACGUAGACCCGAAACCGGGUGAUCUAGCCAUGACCAGGUUGAAGUUCAGGUGAAACUGAAUGGAGGACCGAACCGACCCCCGUUGAAAAGUUGGCGGAUGAGUUGUGGCUAGGGGAGAAAUUCCAAUCGAACACGGAUAUAGCUGGUUCUCCCCGAAAUAGCUUUAGGGCUAGCGUCGAGGAAGAGUCGUAUGGAGGUAGAGCACUGAAUGUACGAUGGCCCCAUCCCGGGGUACUGAGUAUAAUCAAACUCCGAAUGCCAAUAUAUAUACUCGGCAGUCAGACUGUGGGUGAUAAGGUCCAUGGUCAAAAGGGAAACAGCCCAGACCGCCAGUUAAGGUCCCAAAAUGUAUGCUAAGUGGAAAAGGAUGUGGGGAUGCACAGACAACUAGGAGGUUGGCUCAGAAGCAGCCACCCUUCAAAGAGUGCGUAACAGCUCACUAGUCGAGUGACCCUGCGCCGAAAAUGUACCGGGGCUAAGCAUACUACCGAAGCUGCGGAUUUGCAGUAAUGCAAGUGGUAGGGGAGCGUUGCAUGCACGUAGAAGCCAUACCGAAAGGAGUGGUGGAGAGCAUGGAAGAGAGAAUGCCGGUGUGAGUAGCGAGAUGUAGGUGAGAAUCCUACACACCGAUAGCCCAAGGGUUCCAGGGGAAGGUUCGUCCGCCCUGGGUUAGUCGGGACCUAAGGCGAGGCCGAAAGGCGUAGUGGAUGGAAAACAGGCAGAUAUUCCUGUACCCGCGAUGGAAGUGAAGGAAUGACGGAGAAGGCUAGUGUGACCCACUGAAUGGAUUGUGGGCGAAGCGAAUAGCAGGACGGCAGUGAAAUGCGUCGUCGAAAUGUAAAACGUGACAGGUAAGGGAACGUCUACGGACAAGUACCGAAGCACAUGAGGCCAGCUUCCAGGAAAAGUUUCUAGCGAUAAUUCCAUAGCGGCCCGUACCAAAACCGACACAGGUGGGCAAGGAGAGGAUCCUGAGGUGAGCGAGAGAACUGUUGCCAAGGAACUCGGCAAAAUGACUCCGUAAGUUAGCGAUAAGGAGUGCUCUUGUAAAAGAGAGCCGCAGUGAAGAGGCCCAAGCGACUGUUUAACUAAAACACAGCUCUCUGCAAAGUCGCAAGACGAAGUAUAGGGGGUGACGCCUGCCCGGUGCUGGAAGGUUAAAAGGAUCUGUGAAUCGCAAGAGGAAGCAGUGAACUGAAGCCCCAGUGAACGGCGGCCGUAACUAUAACGGUCCUAAGGUAGCGAAAUUCCUUGUCAGGUAAGUUCUGACCC
RNAcentral lists this ribosomal RNA (1767 nucleotides) under human gut metagenome. RNAcentral describes it as "bacterial LSU rRNA". It matches the Rfam family "Bacterial large subunit ribosomal RNA", at positions 201 to 1989 of the family's 2925-position model. The record is from RNAcentral.